CCUACGGGCGGCAGCAGUGAGGAAUAUUGGUCAAUGGACCAGAGUCUGAACCAGCCAAGUAGCGUGAAGGAUGACUGCCCUAUGGGUUUUAAACUUCUUUUUUAAAGAACUACAACGAGGCACGUGUGCCUUUUUGCAUGUACUUUAUGCAUUAAGAUCGGCUAACUCCUGGCCAGCAGCCGCGGUAAUACGGAGUGUCCGAGCGUUCUCCGGAUUUAUUGGGUUUAAAGGGAGCGUAGAUGGGUUGGUAAGUCAGUUGUGAAAGUUUGCGGCUCAACCGUAAAAUUGCAAUUGAUACGGGUAGUCUUGAGGACAGAUGAGGUAGGCGGAAUGCGUGGUGUAGCGGUGAAAUGCUUAGAUAUAACGAAGAACACCGAUUGCGAAGGCAGCUUACUAAACUGUGACUGACAUUGAUGCUCGAAAGUGUGGGGAUCAAACAGGAUUAGAUACCCGAGUAGUC
Molecule: ribosomal RNA, 460 nt
Filed under: uncultured bacterium
Lineage: Bacteria
Description: partial 16S ribosomal RNA
Rfam family: Bacterial small subunit ribosomal RNA
Source: RNAcentral